AGCACGCUCCUUAAAUCCACCUACAGAGCUAUCUUUGAUAGAUCAGCAACUUUACCGUUGUACAUUGUUGGUGCUUGAGUCAUAAGUGUGCAUAUAUCAUACUUGCAGUUCGGACACUUGCUUGAGUCAUUUUGACCUCUUGCUUGUUCGCUCUGCGAACAUU
This 163-nucleotide small nucleolar RNA is filed under the name Bemisia tabaci. RNAcentral describes it as "small nucleolar RNA SNORA53". It matches the Rfam family "Small nucleolar RNA SNORA53". From Rfam's summary of the family: The snoRNA ACA53 belongs to the H/ACA family of pseudouridylation guide snoRNAs. Lineage: Eukaryota; Metazoa; Arthropoda; Insecta; Hemiptera; Aleyrodidae. The record is from RNAcentral.